RNAcentral lists this ribosomal RNA (955 nucleotides) under uncultured bacterium. Its description in RNAcentral is "bacterial SSU rRNA". It matches the Rfam family "Bacterial small subunit ribosomal RNA", at positions 10 to 1005 of the family's 1533-position model. The record is from RNAcentral.
AGUUUGAUCCUGGCUCAGAGCGAACGCUGGCGGCAUGCUUAACACAUGCAAGUCUGACGGGUGGCUUCGGCCAUCAGUGGCGGACGGGUGAGUAACGCGUAGGAACGUGUCCUGAGGUGGGGGAUAACCCUGGGAAACUGGGGCUAAUACCGCAUGGGCCCUGAGGGGCAAAGCCGAGAGGCGCCUUGGGAGUGGCCUGCGUCCGAUUAGGUAGUUGGUGGGGUAAUGGCCUACCAAGCCUGCGAUCGGUAGCUGGUCUGAGAGGACGACCAGCCACACUGGGACUGAGACACGGCCCAGACUCCUACGGGAGGCAGCAGUGGGGAAUAUUGGACAAUGGGCGCAAGCCUGAUCCAGCAAUGCCGCGUGGAUGAAGAAGGUCUUCGGAUUGUAAACCUCUUUUCUCAAGGAAGAAGUUCUGACGGUACUUGAGGAAUCAGCAUCGGCUAACUCCGUGCCAGCAGCCGCGGUAAUACGGAGGAUGCAAGCGUUAUCCGGAAUGAUUGGGCGUAAUGCGUCCGUAGGUGGUUGUUCAAGUCUGCUGUUAAAGCGUGCGGCUUAACCGCAUACCAGCAGUGGAAACUGGGCGACUAGAGUGCGGUAGGGGUCAGGGGAAUUCCCAGUGUAGCGGUGAAAUGCGUAGAUAUUGGGAAGAGCACCGGUGGCGAAAGCGCCUGACUGGACCUGCACUGACACUGAGGGACGAAAGCUAGGGGAGCGAAAGGGAUUAGAUACCCCUGUAGUCCUAGCCGUAAACGAUGGACACUAGGUGUUGCCCGUAUCGACCCGGGCAGUGCCGUAGCCAACGCGUUAAGUGUCCCGCCUGGGGAGUACGCUCGCAAGAGUGAAACUCAAAGGAAUUGANGGGGGCCCGCACAAGCGGUGGAGUAUGUGGUUUAAUUCGAUGCAACGCGAGAACCUUACCAGGGCUUGACAUGUCCAGAACCCUCUUGAA